ACCUUGGGUUUGGGACAUUUCAUGAGUUUCCUAUUAAAUCUCUCCCAUGCCUCAUAUAGAGGUUCUCCAUUCAAUUGACAAAAAUUAGUGAUUUCAUCACAUAACU
Molecule: non-coding RNA, 106 nt
Organism: Capsicum annuum
Lineage: Eukaryota; Viridiplantae; Streptophyta; Magnoliopsida; Solanales; Solanaceae
Source: Rfam